CGAUGCGAUCAUACCAGCACUAAAGCACCGGAUCCCAUCAGAACUCCGAAGUUAAGCGUGCUUGGGCGAGAGUAGUACUAGGAUGGGUGACCUCCUGGGAAGUCCUCGUGUUGCAUCCC
Molecule: ribosomal RNA, 119 nt
Filed under: Oryza sativa Japonica Group (Japanese rice)
Lineage: Eukaryota; Viridiplantae; Streptophyta; Magnoliopsida; Poales; Poaceae
Source: RNAcentral